GCAUCGUCAAGCAUAUUAAAUCAAGUGAAAUAUCUCCCUCAGCAUCAAUAGAAGUUGGCAUUUCUACAGUUGGCUCCCAUAGAAUGAAGAUGUCAUCAAACUUGUAUUCAUCACUUAUCCAGAUUCUUAAAUUUAGUGUUUCUGGAUUUCGAUGAUGUCUGUGUGAAGAGGUCCACUUUGUUCUUGGCUACUACCAUAAAGCAACUUUUUUCUGAGCUCCCUUGGCAAUUCUCUUAUCAUCUUGAAACCAGUUCCAUGAUUUAUUACUUAGCUUAUUCACUAUCAAACCCAGUGACAUUGCCUGAAGUAGAUUCAAAUCCUUAGUCUGUAGUUUGUCAUCCCACUGAUGUAUCUGGUUCUAGGACAGAUCCUGAACAGUGUUGUUACCUUUAUUUUGGGUCCUGGGACAGUAUAAUACCUGGAUUCAUGCAGAAAUUGGCUAUGGAGCAAUAUUUCAGCACUCAUGACAACGGGUAGAGCCCUUGUUUGAACACCACUUUCUAAGGUGAUUAAUAUUUGUUUUGCUGUAGUGGUUGGCCACAAUAUGACAUUUUUGGCAUACUUUUUAAAUUUUUUAUUUAACCAUCUCUCUUUAUUUAUGGAAAUAACCAGC
Molecule: long non-coding RNA, 613 nt
Filed under: Fukomys damarensis (Damara mole-rat)
Lineage: Eukaryota; Metazoa; Chordata; Mammalia; Rodentia; Bathyergidae
Description: lncRNA (ENSFDAG00000027865.1)
Source: RNAcentral